CUAAUGAAAAAAAGGACAACAUCAAUAGGGAAUUGAGUGUGACCUCAAUCUCCUAUAUAGUCCACAAAUGGAAACCUAUAAUAUUGGUACAAAUAAGAAAAUCCCUAUGUAAGCCUGUGGUUGCUUCCUGAUUACAUUAAACUCUUCUUUCUGUAUAUACACAAUAUAUUUGAACAUUAUUGAUGACCCACAUACUAUUAACAGCACUGACAUACACUUGAUGUCACAUUGAUGAAUAUCGGCAAUUGGACAUGUACACAAUGAGCUGUUUAUCGACUGUUUGUGACUUUUUUGCUAUGCUCAAUUGAUAUGUCUUUUGUUAUCCACUGUACUGAUUGCCAAUCUAAAUAAAGAAUUUAAAAAAA
Pelobates cultripes (western spadefoot toad) is the source of this 365-nucleotide non-coding RNA. The record is from the annotation of a GenBank genome assembly. Lineage: Eukaryota; Metazoa; Chordata; Amphibia; Anura; Pelobatidae.